GAUGAACGCUGGCGGCGUGCCUAAUACAUGCAAGUCGAGCGAACGGACGAGAAGCUUGCUCCUCUGAUGUUAGCGGCGGACGGGGGAGUAACACGUGGAUAACCUACCUAUAAGACUGGGAUAACUUCGGGAAACCGUAGCUAAUACCGGAUAAUAUUUUGAACCGCAUGGUUCAAAAGUGAAAGACGGUCUUGCUGUCACUUAUAGAUGGAUCCGCGCUGCAUUAGCUAGUUGGUAAGGUAACGGCUUACCAAGGCAACGAUGCAUAGCCGACCUGAGAGGGUGAUCGGCCACACUGGAACUGAGACACGGUCCAGACUCCUACGGGAGGCAGCAGUAGGGAAUCUUCCGCAAUGGGCGAAAGCCUGACGGAGCAACGCCGCGUGAGUGAUGAAGGUCUUCGGAUCGUAAAACUCUGUUAUUAGGGAAGAACAUAUGUGUAAGUAACUGUGCACAUCUUGACGGUACCUAAUCAGAAAGCCACGGCUAACUACGUG
Molecule: ribosomal RNA, 497 nt
Filed under: uncultured bacterium
Lineage: Bacteria
Description: partial 16S ribosomal RNA
Rfam family: Bacterial small subunit ribosomal RNA
Source: RNAcentral